AUUGGGUUCCGGCAUUGGAAUGAGAACAAUAUAAAUCUUUUAACGAGGAUCUAGUGGAGGGCAAGUCUGGUGCCAGCAGCCGCGGUAAUUCCAGCUCCGCAAGUGUAUAUCUAUGUUGCUGCGGUUAAAAAGCUCGUAGUUGGAUCUGCGUGUUUAGCGUCCGGUUCGACUUUUGGUCGUUACUGGAACGCGACACAGAUGUGCUGGUUUGCCGUUGAUGCUCUUAAUCGGGUGUCAGUGGCGGCUAGCGAGUUUACUUUGAAAAAAUUAGAGUGCUCAAAACAGGCGUUUCGCCUGAAUAUUUCUGCAUGGAAUAAUAGAAUAGGACUUCGAUUCUAUUCUGUUGGUUUUCGGAAUGCGAAGUAAUGAUUAAGAGGGACAGACGGGGGCAUUCGUACUGCGACGUUAGAGGUGAAAUUCUUGGAUCGUCGCAAGACGUACUACUGCGAAGGCAUUUGCCAAGAAUGUUUUCAUUAAUCAAGAACGAAAGUUAUGGGUUCGAAGGCGAUCAGAUACCGCCCUAGUCAUAACCGUAAACGAUUCAAACUGGGCGCCCGACGGUGUUUUUAUUGACCCGUCGGGAACCCUCCCGGAAACGAAAGUGUUCGUGUUCCGGGGGAAAUAUGUCUGCAAAGAGGAAACUUAAAGGAAUUGACGGAAGGGCACCACCAGGGGUGGAGCCUGCGGCUUAAUUUGACCCAACACGGGGAAACUCACCCGGCCCGGACACCGUAAGGAUUGACAGAUUGAGAGCUCUUUCUUGAUUCGGUGGGUGGUGGUGCAUGGCCGUUCUUAGUUGGUGGAGUGAUUUGUCUGGUUUAUUCCGAUAACGAACGAGACUCUGGCCUGCUAACUAGUGUUCACAUCUUUACGUGUGCUUCGCUUCUUAGAGGGACAGGCGGCUUCCAGCCGCAUGAAGAAGAGCAAUAACAGGUCUGUGAUGCCCUUAGAUGUCCGGGGCUGCACGCGCGCUACACUGAAAGAAUCAGCGUGUACGUUACCUGGCUCGAAAGAGUCGGGUAAUCCGGUGAAAAUCUUUCGUGAUUGGGAUCGGGACUUGCAAUUAUUUCCCUUGAACGAGGAAUCCCUAGUAAGUGCGGGUCAUCAGCUCGCGCUGAUUACGUCCCUGCCCUUUGCACACACCGCCCGUCGCUGCCCGGAACUGAGCCGUUUCGAGAAAAAUGGGGACUGUCUACUUGAGGUCUUCACGGACUUUUUGUAAAUGGAAACCGCUU
RNAcentral lists this ribosomal RNA (1235 nucleotides) under metagenome. Its description in RNAcentral is "SSU rRNA". It matches the Rfam family "Eukaryotic small subunit ribosomal RNA", at positions 495 to 1759 of the family's 1831-position model. The record is from RNAcentral.